AACAAAUUACUCUUUCAAAUUAAUGCAAUGUUAGUAUUAUGCAACAAUUAUGUAACCAAUUAUAAUGUUAACUGUGUCUAAAAUAUUUUUCAUCAAAUUUCCACUUUCAAAUGAAAUUAGCUUCUGCAUAGGUAUCCAUAGAGGGUUGAAUUUAUUAUAUGUUGUUCCUAUGGCCAUUAUCUACAAAAGGGUGUGUCAGAUUUCAGAUAGAGUGUAUAGAACAAAUUUUACACCUAAUUAAACAUUAUCUUCUUUUAUGUGGUCAGGAUGUUUACACUAAUUAGAGAUUUAUGAGAGAAUAGAAUACCAUAGAGACAGUCUGAGACACCCUUUUGAAGUCCAUGAUGUGUUGAUUAAGAUUUCGUUAAAAUUUUCUGUAUAGUUAAAGAGAUGAUAGAGCUAAAUUCAUUCAAGUGAACUUACCCAGAUUUUGCCACUAAUUAAAUAGUAAUUGAUUACAUAAUGAUUGCAUAAUAAAAAUAUUGCAUUCAUUUAAAAGAUUAAUCUUUUAUCUAUCUAUAUAUACCUAUUUUAUUAUUUUCUAUGCAUUCAUAAGAAAGUUGCAGCAUUUCAAAGG
Molecule: long non-coding RNA, 577 nt
Filed under: Mytilus galloprovincialis (Mediterranean mussel)
Lineage: Eukaryota; Metazoa; Mollusca; Bivalvia; Mytilida; Mytilidae
Source: RNAcentral